RNAcentral lists this long non-coding RNA (948 nucleotides) under Bos indicus x Bos taurus (hybrid cattle). RNAcentral describes it as "lncRNA (ENSBIXG00000014201.1)". Lineage: Eukaryota; Metazoa; Chordata; Mammalia; Artiodactyla; Bovidae. The record is from RNAcentral.
GAAGAAUUAGGCUUCAGAAGGCUGUUCCCAGUUGUGUUACACUUUGACUUCUGUUUCCAGUCGUUAAUAUUCUUACUUUAAUUCUGAGGAAAUUGCAUGAGAUUUUUCCAACUUUUACCUGAGGAAACGAGCCUCAGAGCUCCCCGCUGGGCCUGUUGAAGGUCCCUCCCUGUUCUGGGUCAAGCCCACCUGUAUGGUGUAGCAGACAGAGGUCCUGACUUCAUGCCAGAUAACUUUCUUCCUGGAAUUCUUGCAAUAACAGGGUAGUUUAGUACACUUUUUGUUUGCUGUUUAGGUUUAUUAUGUAGAAAAGAAGCUUGGUAAACCGAGUGGCUGGACAGAACAUUAAGACAGAUGGGUGCCAAUCGUGGCAAAUGUGACCUUUGAGACAGAGGAUAAGAACCGCCAGUUGCAGGAGCGCCUGGAGCUGGUGGAGACGCUGCAGCAGACGCUGCUGAGGGCGGAGACGCUGCCCGAGGUGGAGGCCGAGCUGGCGCAGAAGGUGGCCGCGCUCUCCAAGCACCUCUGCUGUCCGUCCCAGGUAGGCUUUGUAGUUCGACCUUUUGUCUUCCGGAAGGUCUGCCACUAAGGAGGCUAAACGGUUCGAAUUUACCUCCCAGCUUAGGAAGGCGGGAGAGACACGCAACAUCGAGGAGAGGCUGCGCCAGAUGGAGCCCCAACUGGAGGAGAAGAACAAGGAGCUGCAGCGGGCAAGGCAGAGAGAAAAAAAUGAAUGAAGAACACAAUAAACGCUUAUCAGAUACCGUGGAUAAGCUUCUGUCCGAAUCAGAUGAGAAGCUUCAGCUUCAUCUGAAGGAGAGAAUGGCUGCUCUGGAGAAUAAGGCACAGUGCACACAGGAACUUGCUUCUGCCACUAAUGAUGAAGUCAAUCUGAGGGACAGAUAUUUGUAUCCUGGAUGCACCAGGCUCUUCCAUGCAACUGACUGG